This 380-nucleotide unclassified non-coding RNA is filed under the name soil metagenome. Its description in RNAcentral is "partial contains 5.8S ribosomal RNA, internal transcribed spacer 2, and large subunit ribosomal RNA". The stretch from base 1 to 120 matches the Rfam family "5.8S ribosomal RNA", at positions 35 to 154 of the family's 154-position model. The record is from RNAcentral.
GAUGAAGAAUGCAGCGAAAUGCGAUAAGUAAUGUGAAUUGCAGAAUUCAGUGAAUCAUCGAAUCUUUGAACGCACCUUGCACCCUUUGGCAUUCUGAAGGGUAUGCUCGUUUGAGUGUCAUUGUACUCUCACACUCCCGAUCUUUGCAUUGGGAGCAGUGGACUUGGGUUUGCUGCUUCACCGUCGCUUACCUCAAAUAGGUUAGUGCAACUCUUGGUUGGACAUAGUACGGCGUGAUAAGUGUUCUUCGCCGGUGCCUCGCAAAGAGGGUGGCCGAUCGGGAUGUUGUGCUCCAAACCGUCUUCGGACAAUCUCUGACGACUUGACCUCAAAUCGAGUAAGACUACCCGCUGAACUUAAGCAUAUCAAUAAGCGGAGGA